UCCAGCACCUGCCGCAGCCUUCGGCUUAGAAGAGAACUCUGACAAGAGUCGCUCAUACAUCUCCUGCUGCAGCUCCUGUGCCCUCAUGAAUAUGUCUCCCCUCCGCCUCCCGAGGGCGGUGAAGUUCCUGUUGCCUUGCAUCAACAGGUGAUAUCGUUCUGACGCUUUCACCACCCCCGCGGAUAUGAUGGGUUCCCCGGCCGUGUCAACCUCGGGGGGCAUCGGCGUCGCUCCCUCUUCCUCGUCGUCCUCCUCCUCAUCCUUCUCCCCCUUCUCCUCCAGCUCGUCGAGAAGAGCGUGAACAGUGGCUUCUCAGGUUCAAAACUUCUCGCAAAAAUCUUCGGGAGACGCGGCCGUCCCCCGACGCGGGCUAGGGGCGCAACCGUAACCGGAGGCGGCGGGGGCCGCGGCGUGGGCGCUGGCGGAGGCGGCGUCCAUCGUCGUGUGUCACCCGCUUGGGCUGGCAUGACUCCUGUCAAAACUUUCUACGUCUCCGAUCCGAUGACGCCUCUGACGAUCGCCUAUGGUAACGCUCGCGGGCCAGGGCCUAGGAGUGAAAUUGCCCAUACGGCGUCCAAAAAUCGCUGAAGUAUUUUUUAAUAUAUAUACGCCUUGAAAAUACGAAAAUCCGGUCGCCAAUAAUAAUGUACUAAUGUACUACUGUACGAGAGACAUGGAAGAAAUAAAUAAACCUCGGUGUCU
This 702-nucleotide long non-coding RNA is filed under the name Micromonas commoda. RNAcentral describes it as "long non-coding RNA (MCOM_LNC000095)". The record is from RNAcentral. Lineage: Eukaryota; Viridiplantae; Chlorophyta; Mamiellophyceae; Mamiellales; Mamiellaceae.